This is a non-coding RNA of Paraburkholderia sp. SOS3, 83 nucleotides long. Lineage: Bacteria; Pseudomonadati; Pseudomonadota; Betaproteobacteria; Burkholderiales; Burkholderiaceae. The record is from Rfam.
GCGCAAUCCGCUAAACGGUCAGGCCGUGUCGCGGAAGGUUCAACAACCCGCUAUUUCUCGAGAAACUCGACGAAAGGUGAGCG